Molecule: ribosomal RNA, 194 nt
Filed under: Candida albicans
Lineage: Eukaryota; Fungi; Ascomycota; Pichiomycetes; Serinales; Debaryomycetaceae
Description: partial 28S ribosomal RNA
Rfam family: Eukaryotic large subunit ribosomal RNA
Source: RNAcentral
UUGACCUCAAAUCAGGUAGGACUACCCGCUGAACUUAAGCAUAUCAAUAAGCGGAGGAAAAGAAACCAACAGGGAUUGCCUCAGUAGCGGCGAGUGAAGCGGCAAAAGCUCAAAUUUGAAAUCUGGCGUCUUUGGCGUCCGAGUUGUAAUUUGAAGAAGGUAUCUUUGGGCCCGGCUCUUGUCUAUGUUCCUUG